GAUGAACGCUGGCGGCGUGCCUAAUACAUGCAAGUCGAGCGAACAGACGAGGAGCUUGCUCCUCUGACGUUAGCGGCGGACGGGUGAGUAACACGUGGAUAACCUACCUAUAAGACUGGGAUAACUUCGGGAAACCGGAGCUAAUACCGGAUAAUAUAUUGAACCGCAUGGUUCAAUAGUGAAAGACGGUUUUGCUGUCACUUAUAGAUGGAUCCGCGCCGCAUUAGCUAGUUGGUAAGGUAACGGCUUACCAAGGCGACGAUGCGUAGCCGACCUGAGAGGGUGAUCGGCCACAAUGGAACUGAGACACGGUCAAGACUCCUACGGGAGGCAGCAGUAGGGAAUCUUCCGCAAUGGGCGAAAGCCUGACGGAGCAACGCCGCGUGAGUGAUGAAGGUCUUCGGAUCGUAAAACUCUGUUAUUAGGGAAGAACAAAUGUGUAAGUAACUAUGCACGUCUUGACGGUACCUAAUCAGAAAGCCACGGCUAACUACGUG
This 497-nucleotide ribosomal RNA is filed under the name uncultured bacterium. Its description in RNAcentral is "partial 16S ribosomal RNA". It matches the Rfam family "Bacterial small subunit ribosomal RNA", at positions 28 to 507 of the family's 1533-position model. The record is from RNAcentral.